Molecule: long non-coding RNA, 1426 nt
Organism: Macrosteles quadrilineatus (aster leafhopper)
Lineage: Eukaryota; Metazoa; Arthropoda; Insecta; Hemiptera; Cicadellidae
Exons: 6
Source: RefSeq, a predicted model, not a curated record
UUUGCAUUUGCAAGGUACAAGGUACUAAGGUACAUGGUACAUGCAUGACAAAGUCAACAAUAAUGAGGUUCAAGUUUAACCUAGUGUUUGUGACGUGUUUGAUCAUGUGAUGUUUAAUACAAUGUGUCGUGUCGUUACUCGUUACUACAUCACUGUCAGUGACAAUGAGAGGUUACAAACGAAAACAUAACCUCUCUUUUAAGUCAUGAGUAGUAAUUUGCAGUAAUUAAAACACUAUCUUAGUUAAAAUAGUGUUAACGCAAUCGUUGCGUGUAAACUACUAUAACCAAAUAGGCCUAUUAUCUUGAUCUCCACUAUCAAACUAAUGAGCUAGCUUUGGUUUGAAGAUGACUACAGAAGACUUGUAAUUUUAAACAACAGGCUUUAAACCUUGGGAUCUGCAAGAGAACGAACAUUUAUCAAGCUAUUUAGGCUAUCUAAACCUCUCGCUCGAGAGCUUUGUAAUGAGCUAGAGCCCAGACUGCCAGUAGCACAUCGUUCCAGUGCCAUGCCAAGUGACAUAAGAGUUCUGACAUCUCUUCGGUUCAUGGCCUCAGGAAGCUACCAGGAGUGUAUUGGCCAAAAUAGAUACCUACCCUGGAAUGUCACAAUCAAGUAAACAGAAUUACUAUGAAAUAUUGCAGACAUUCUUCUGAAUGAUGCAUGAAAAGGAAAAAUCGUUCUCCAAGUUUGUAAUUGAUGGUUUGAUCUGAAACGUCAUCCACCACGAUCUUAAUCCAGAGCUACGAGUCUGUAAGAACUGCGUUUGAACACUUAGUCGAUAGAAGAGAAAUCGCUGAUUUUAUCUCUGCAUUUCAUCGAAUCCCAAAGCAGAGACUGAAUUAAGGAAACAACUUCAAGCUACAAGAAGAUUCCAGAUUGACAGGACCGUUGAGUAUAUUAGUUAUAUUAACAUUGCCUUAAAUCUCUUUAUGAGAUUGUGUUCUGUGUGCUUAAAAAAACAUUGUAUGUGUCGUCUACGAGUCUUCUUAAUAUUAAUAGUUAUUUAGCUAUAAUUAUAUUUAACUAAAGUACAAACAAUUGAUCUCAAGAUGAGUGGUGUAAGUUAAGCCAAAGAAAUUUAUUGAAAUGCUAUGUCUUUGUUAAGGUGGCUUUAGACACGGUUUAUAAGGGUUUUGUAUUGUAUAGAUUCAACAGCAGACUUAACUUACUGACAAAAAUACGCAGAGCAGAGCUUUUUUCAGAGGUUGGCGGCCUCUUUUAACCUUUCAUUAGCCCGUCCACAUAGACUACAAAUAGAUGAAAUGCAAAAAGAUCUAUUGAUAAAUAGGUUGUUUAAGGAACUCUAGUCGCUCGAUUUUUCUCAUUAAUGAAGUUGUUUUAUAGUUCCUACUUGUUUAGUUGUACCACAAUGUCAAGUUUCAAAUAAAAUUUUUUUUGUAAUAAACUUUGUGUGUGUGUUUUU